AUUGAACGCUGGCGGCAGGCUUAACACAUGCAAGUCGAGCGGGGUGAUGGUGCUUGCACUAUCACUUAGCGGCGGACGGGUGAGUAAUGCUUAGGAAUCUGCCUAUUAGUGGGGGACAACAUCUCGAAAGGGAUGCUAAUGCCGCAUACGUCCUACGGGAGAAAGCAGGGGAUCACUUGUGACCUUGCGCUAAUAGAUGAGCCUAAGUCGGAUUAGCUAGUUGGUGGGGUAAAGGCCUACCAAGGCGACGAUCUGUAGCGGGUCUGAGAGGAUGAUCCGCCACACUGGGACUGAGAAACGGCCCAGACUCCUACGGGAGGCAGCAGUGGGGAAUAUUGGACAAUGGGGGGAACCCUGAUCCAGCCAUGCCGCGUGUGUGAAGAAGGCCUUAUGGUUGUAAAGCACUUUAAGCGAGGAGGAGGCUCUUUUGGUUAAUACCCAAGAUGAGUGGACGUUACUCGCAGAAUAAGCACCGGCUAACUCUGUGCCAGCCGCCGCAGUAA
This 503-nucleotide ribosomal RNA is filed under the name uncultured bacterium. Its description in RNAcentral is "partial 16S ribosomal RNA". It matches the Rfam family "Bacterial small subunit ribosomal RNA", at positions 30 to 523 of the family's 1533-position model. The record is from RNAcentral.